AGAAUUGUCAUUUUGGGGUGAUUUGGGUGAAAUGUCUCUUUAAGUGCAAAUAUUAGUCCAUUGCUUCCCCUUACAACACUGCACAUUGUCAAUUAUAGACCAGCAUAAAACAUGUUGUUCAGUAAUCUAUUCCCUACUAGCCAGUCUUGUAGCCUGUCUUAUAGCACGACAGUUAUCACUUCAUUUUCAGCUCUAAUGCAGUUGUUGUUUUUGGGUGCUGGUGUAAUCACCAGCUUGCCAUGUCCUUGCUUGACCAGAUCAUGGCAUUCAACAUGGACUCAACACUUUACCAUCUGUUGUCUCUUCUUUUUCCACUGCGCCUAAUUGCAUGCAUGCCUAACUCAUCAAGGACAUAAAGCCUGCUUGUUGUUGUUGUUUUUUUGGAUGUUGUGCUAAUGCUGUGUUUGUGUGCAUGUGUUAAGGGGAUGAUGGUUUGUCCAAAAUGUCCUUGGAGAUCAGAUCCAUGCAUCUUUCCUGUAAUGAAGCUCUACAGAGGGGGAAGGGGACAAGGACAUGUUGCAAGUCAUAAUCAAACCUGCGUUUCCCACAAGAGCACCAGGGCUAUGACGAAUGGGAUCUAAUACUAAGGUCAUUUUUGGCAGCUGUAGUGCGAACCUUCUUUGCAGCAAAGGAAUAAACAGAGAUUUCAGCCCAAAAUAAGUUGUGACAGAUAUGUCAGGACCUAAAAACCCUGCGG
Long non-coding RNA from Cyprinus carpio carpio, 697 nucleotides. The record is from Ensembl. Lineage: Eukaryota; Metazoa; Chordata; Actinopteri; Cypriniformes; Cyprinidae.